UACGUAGGGGGCUAGCGUUGUCCGGAAUCAUUGGGCGUAAAGAGCGUGUAGGCGGCUCGGUAAGUCCGCUGUGAAAGCCCGGAGCUUAACUCCGGAGGGUCGGUGGAUACUGCCAGUCUUGAAGGUGCUAGGGGGAGAUGGAAUUACCGGUGUAGCGGUGAAAUGCGUAGAUAUCGGUAGGAACACCAGUGGCGAAGGCGGUCUCCUGGGGCAUUCUUGACGCUGAGGCGCGAAAGCUGGGGGAGCGAACGGG
Molecule: ribosomal RNA, 253 nt
Filed under: uncultured bacterium
Lineage: Bacteria
Description: partial 16S ribosomal RNA
Rfam family: Bacterial small subunit ribosomal RNA
Source: RNAcentral